This 1330-nucleotide long non-coding RNA is filed under the name Helianthus annuus (common sunflower). Its description in RNAcentral is "sRNA HanXRQr2_Chr10g0465831". The record is from RNAcentral. Lineage: Eukaryota; Viridiplantae; Streptophyta; Magnoliopsida; Asterales; Asteraceae.
GUGCAUACUUUCCUUUUUCACGAUCAUUGUUAUUUGACGUAUGCCCUGCCAUCAACAUACAUAAGUAUAACCACUCCCCAUAACUUGUCGUUUUAUUAACAAUUAAUCCCCCCGUUUUCCACAUAUAAUCAUAUCAUGAUCAAAAUAGCAUCAAAAAGCCUAGACUAAAUGGACAUGAUAAGAAUAGUAUUGGGUGACCUAGAUUUAAGCUUUUAAUUUUAAGACGUUCUAAAGUAGAAAGCUAAAAGCUUUAUGGUACAGUAUAGAUAUCAUAUUUGAUAUAGUAAACUACUUCCAAUAAUUCUUGAUGACAUUUAUUUGAUCACACAUGAUAUCUACCUUUAAACAAUGAAAACAGGCGAGACGAUGGCCUCAAAAGAUCAAGAUGUUUAUCGGAAACUGAUUUCACCAAUUCUACACCAUUUUUCAAAACCUUCCCUUCCUCCAUAGCAGCAUCUGUGAAACCAGAAAGUCUCAAUUUACAUAAAUUAUAUUAAAUUUAGGGCUUCCAGCUAAAAGAACCAAAUGGUUUCAAGUGUUCUAAAGAUUGAGGCUUACAAGUGGAGGUAUAUUCUCGAGUUGUGGUAGUGUCGAGGGUGAAGGCAUGUGAUAAUUAGAAUUUUUUUUGCUACUUUAGGGUGAUUAAUUGAGAGUACUAAUCAAAUUAAAAAGUUAACUAACAAGUAGUUAAUUCAUCAUAACAUAACAAUGAUAAGCGUAAAAGGAGUUAUUUACACAGCAUGAAGCAUAUAUUAUGCAAAGAAGAAAUUCAAAGGGAAACUAUUUGAUAACAUUGGUAAACUAAUGGUGUUUAAGGAUAAAGAUACUGAUGCCAUAAGGCUAAAGAAAAGUCAAGAGGAAUUACUCAGAUCCAUUUCACAGGUUUAAUGUCCUGCAGGGCUGCUCCCCAGCUACUAGUUACCACUUCUUCAAGCACGCACCUGUUUUUGUAUAUUCGAUUAGACUACUUCAAAUUCGGUCCAUAUGCGAUCAACUCUUAGCCAGUUCAUGUAAAAAAAUUGGUUCAUAAUCCCAAAAAUUAACCUAGCUAGCAUUACAUCAAAGUGAUAAAGUUGUAACACAAAAUAUUGUUUCAGUAAAAGAAUAUUCCGUUUAAAUCCUUCUGGAUCAGACGACAGAUACAAAAAAAACCACAGCUAAAUUUUAAAGAGUAUGUAUGUAUGUAUGUAUGUAAACCCUAAAAUAGUUUAUGAGCAAAUACUCUUUGUUCCUCAGUAAUUUAUAUUAGUUAAGGAUCCUGUGAGAAAUACUGUAAGCUCAAAAUUAAAGCAUAAUCACAGAUAACAAAGACGAUGAUCAGAAACAUUCG